CCUACGGGUGGCUGCAGUUAGGAAUUUUGGGCAAUGGGGGAAACCCUGACCCAGCAACGCCGCGUGGGUGAAGACGGCCUUCGGGUUGUAAAGCCCUUUUCCGUGGGAAGAUGGUGACGGUACCACGGGAAUCAGCCCCGGCUAACUACGUGCCAGCAGCCGCGGUAAUACGUAGGGGGCGAGCGUUGUCCGGAUUUAUUGGGCGUAAAGGGCUCGCAGGUGGUUCGGCGCGUCGUGCGUGAAAGACCCCGGCUCAACUGGGGAGGGUCGUGCGAUACGGUCGGACUGGAGGCCAGUAGGGGGAUGCGGAAUUCCGGGUGUAGUGGUGGAAUGCGUAGAUAUCCGGAGGAACACCAGCGGCGAAGGCGGCAUCCUGGACUGGUCCUGACACUGAGGAGCGAAAGCGUGGGGAGCGAUCCGGAUUAGAUACCCUUGUAGUC
This 440-nucleotide ribosomal RNA is filed under the name uncultured bacterium. Its description in RNAcentral is "partial 16S ribosomal RNA". It matches the Rfam family "Bacterial small subunit ribosomal RNA", at positions 338 to 795 of the family's 1533-position model. The record is from RNAcentral.